This 766-nucleotide small RNA is filed under the name Pan troglodytes (chimpanzee). Its description in RNAcentral is "processed transcript". Lineage: Eukaryota; Metazoa; Chordata; Mammalia; Primates; Hominidae. The record is from RNAcentral.
CUGCAGCGCUCUCGUCUUCUGCGGCUCUCGGUGCCCUCUCCUUUUCGUUUCCGGAAACAUGAUCUCUGCCAUCCCGAGAUCAUCACUCCUAGCCUCCUCUGGAAACUCUCUGAGAGUUGGGGAAUUGUCUCUUUUAUAAGAGGCCUACACAGGCACGAGGUCAUACUUGGGCAGUUUUCGGCUUUGUGAAAAUCUCUCAGAUUGCACCGCACAGUAUACAACUGAUGAACCAGACAACCACAGUCGUUCUUUGGAUUGCAUUUUCUCCUGAGAUAUCAGACGCAUUUCACCAGGGCCACAGAAAGAAAAAUGAAGACCAAGAUACCGUGACAAAUGCCAACUACCUCGUAAGUGCAGAUAUUUUCAGUUAUCUAGGUAGCUAGAGCUUUGCAUAGGUGACAGGGAAGAUGAUGCCAUCAGAUCUGUGCUUCACAUAGAGAAGUCCGGCUUCGAGAUGGAGUCACCGGGGCAUGGUGUGCGGGCAGUCAGUAAAGUGGAGAUGUGAUUACUAGAUCAUUAUGGCAAUAUAAGAUAAAAACAUGCUGCGGGAAGUGAGAAAAACUACAUGCCCCCCCAUGCUGAGUGCCCACAGGAGGCGCACGGGUAGUGCAGGAAAAAGGCAAAUGGCCAUAGUUCCUGAAACCAGCAUAAAUUAAAACAAAAUACAAAUCAUACCCUGGCAAAUGGCAAGUAACAGCCUAUUGCCAGUAUGCGAAUCACGUUGUGAUUUUUUAAAAUUUGUUUUGUAAUAAAUAAUUUGUUUGAA